CGGAAAAGAAAAGGAAAAUGGGAGGAGCGGAAGCAAGUCCGAGCAAGUCAGAGGAUCCGCCGGCCUAUCUCCGCCUAUAAAAUGCCGUCCCACCCCCCACCUUCCUAGCAGCUGCUCUCCACCAAGAGCUGCUGGCACCACCAAACCAAUCGCUGGAUUUGUCCAGAGUAUUUCCGGUUUCACCGCCCUAGAUCUGACCCGAGACGCCGCGUCUUCGCUGAGAUGGCGAUUACUGUGAGGCGGUCGACGAUGGUGCGCCCGGCGCGGGAGACGCCGCGGCAGCGGCUGUGGAACUCCAACCUCGACCUCGUGGUGCCGCGCUUCCACACGCCCAGUGUCUACUUCUACCGCCGCGACGGCCCCGUGCCGGAUGCGGAGGGGUUCUUCGACGGCGAGCGGAUGCGGCGCGCGCUGGCAGAGGCGCUCGUGCCGUUCUAUCCAAUGGCGGGCCGCCUCGCGCGGGACGAGGACGGUAGGGUCGAGAUCGACUGCAAUGGCGAGGGAGUGCUCUUCGUCGAGGCCGACGCGCCCGAUGCCUCUGUCGAUGACUACGGUGACUUCGCGCCCACCAUGGAGCUCAAGCGCCUCAUCCCGACCGUCGAUUACACCGACGACAUCUCGGCCUUCUCGCUACUCGUGCUCCAGGUGACUUAUUUCAAAUGUGGAGGCGUCUCCCUUGGUGUUGGCAUGCAACACCAUGCAGCGGAUGGCAUGUCUGGCUUGCACUUCAUUAACUCAUGGUCUGACCUCUGCCGUGGAGCUCAAAUUUCUGUCAUGCCCUUCAUUGACCGCACCCUUCUUCGUGCUCGUGAUCCACCAACUCCAUCUUUUCAACAUAUCGAGUACCAGUCUGCCCCAGCUAUGUUGUCCUCCACAACCCAGUUCCUUGCUUCCAAGUCAAAGCCACCUGCCACUGCUGUGGACAUUUUCAAGCUCACUCGCUCAGACCUUGGCCGGCUGCGCUCACAGCUUCCUGCAGGGGAAGGUGCACCCCGGUUCAGCACAUAUGCAGUGCUAGCGGCACAUGUCUGGAAAUGUGUCUCCCUUGCACGCAGCCUACCUCCUGAACAACCCACCAAGUUGUAUUGCGCCACUGAUGGCCGACAACGGCUACAGCCUCCACUACCAGAUGGGUACUUUGGCAAUGUCAUCUUCACCGCGACACCACUUGCUGAGGCGGGCAAGGUGACCAGUGAGCUGGCAGAAGGAGCAGCAGUCAUCCAGGGAGCACUGGAUAGGAUGGACAACGACUACUGCCGCUCAGCGUUAGACUACCUGGAGCUUCAACCGGAUCUGUCAGCACUUGUGCGUGGAGCGCAUACCUUCCGCUGCCCGAACCUAGGGCUCACCAGCUGGGUGCGCCUUCCUAUCCAUGAUGCUGACUUCGGAUGGGGCCGGCCUGUGUUCAUGGGGCCAGGUGGCAUUGCGUAUGAAGGUCUGGCGUUUGUCCUCCCAAGUGCAAAUGGCGACGGCAGCCUGUCCAUUGCUAUCUCGUUGCAGGCUGAGCACAUGGAGAAGUUCCGGAAGCUAAUCGGCGAAGCUUAAACGGUGCCAACUGUUGAAGGAGGAUGUUAUUGGGCGAGAAGGAUUAUGCUCUGCCCAAAUUCUCAGAUAAAAUACUGAAGUUUCAAGUGAACCCAGUGGCUGCACUUUCACUUUGAAGACUUGCAGAGGAAAUUCAUGGUCACUUCAUUUUGUGAGAUUAAUUAUAGAGAAAGGGUAGAAAUUAUAUGAAGAAACAUAGUAAAAAAUCAUUGUUAGGAACAAACUCCAAUAGCAGGCUCUACUUGUACGUCGCAGACAUAAGCUGAGACUGAGCUGCGAUUGCAACAGAUUAUACUCUUCUAUCAGGUUGACUGAAGUUCCCUCAGUGGCCAAUCUUGGAUCUUUCUGCAGGCUGAUGAGAUGCAACUGAGCACACAGCCUGAGGUUGUGGCGGUGUGGCCUGAUCUGGCUUGCCAUUGUCGGACAUCGUCAUCGGCGCCGGGGACACCGAGCAGUUCGUCGAGGCACUAGUUUUUCAACACUGCUGGGUGGUGAGCAGUUCUAUUACGCCAUGACGCCACCUUGCACAAACUUUACGUUGCGAUUACCUCUGCAUAGCGGCGGUCCUAACAUUCUAAGGGCCCGGGACAAGGUUUCAAAUAGAGGCCUUUCAAAUUAUUUUUAAUGUAUAAAUGUUACUAAUUAAACACUCAAAAUACAUCUAAAAAUAUUU
Molecule: RNA transcript, 2218 nt
Organism: Zea mays
Lineage: Eukaryota; Viridiplantae; Streptophyta; Magnoliopsida; Poales; Poaceae
Exons: 4
Source: RefSeq, marked validated